Molecule: small nuclear RNA, 66 nt
Filed under: Heterocephalus glaber (naked mole-rat)
Lineage: Eukaryota; Metazoa; Chordata; Mammalia; Rodentia; Bathyergidae
Description: U4 spliceosomal RNA
Rfam family: U4 spliceosomal RNA
About the family: U4 small nuclear RNA (U4 snRNA) is a component of the major U2-dependent spliceosome. The structure of U4 snRNA from yeast and human has been reported. U4 snRNA presents a k-turn RNA motif in the 5p-SL related to recognition of Snu13 protein.
Source: Rfam by way of RNAcentral
GGCUUUGCACAGUGGCAGUAUUGCACCCAAUGAGGUUUAUCUAAGGUGCAAUUAUUGCUAAUUGAC